UCAUUGUAGCAGCGCUCAGACUAAAAUUGGAAUGAUACAAAGAUCAGCGUGGUCCCUGCACAAGAACACCAGCAAUGUGAAACAUUCCAUAUUUAA
RNAcentral lists this small nuclear RNA (96 nucleotides) under Meriones unguiculatus (Mongolian gerbil). Lineage: Eukaryota; Metazoa; Chordata; Mammalia; Rodentia; Muridae. The record is from RNAcentral.